RNAcentral lists this long non-coding RNA (4282 nucleotides) under Vitis vinifera (wine grape). Its description in RNAcentral is "long non-coding RNA (VVIN_LNC000663)". The record is from RNAcentral. Lineage: Eukaryota; Viridiplantae; Streptophyta; Magnoliopsida; Vitales; Vitaceae.
UAAAUAGGUAAGUCUCCCUACAUUGCUUUUACAAUAUAGCAAGCCUUUUUUGAAAUCCUUCUUCCACCUCAUCCCACAUCCUCAUUGCUUUAAAAUGAGCUCCCAAAGGCAAACCUAGAUAUAUGGUGGGUAGAUGCCCUACCUUACAUCGCAGAGUAGCAACAAGAGCCUCCACAUCAUCAGCUCCUCCAACUAGAAUUAGCUCACUUUUCUUUAGAUUGAUUUUCAAAUCUAACCUCUCAUAGCCUCUACCACCCACCUUGAAACCCAAGAAGGAAACCCCUUCCCUAGUUCUCCUUAGAAUCCCCUCUAUAGCCAAGAUAAAUAAAUAGGGAGAAAAGGGAUCCCCUUGUCUUAACCCACAAGAACUACGAAAGAAUUUUGAUAGGGUCAUGUUGACAAGAACUAACAAUUUUGUUGAGGAGAUGCAUCAUUUAAAGUUUUAAACCAUAUGAUCCACUUAUGACCAAAACUUGAUUUCUCUAAGAUCACCAAUAGGAACUCCCAAUUGGCAUGAUCAUACACCUUCUCAAUAUCAAUUUUGCAAAUAACUCCACUAAUGGAGCUUUUCAACUUUGAGUCUAUGGCCUCAUUAGCUAUGAGAAUUGCAUUAAGAAUGUGUUUACCCUCCACAAAAAUGGAAAUAUGUUGGUAGUUUAAAACCACAUUUCCCCCUACCUUUUUGAGUUUGCUGGCUAAAACUUUUGCCAAAAGCUUAUAAAAGGCCCUCCACUAAGAUAAUUGGUUUGAAAUCUUCCAAAUCCAAGGGAGUGACAUUCAAACUUCUCUCAAAAAACCUAUUGUAAAAAAUGUCCAUGAAGAAACCUAUUACCUCUUGCUUAACAAAUUCCCACAAAACUGUCAAAAUGCCUUAGUGAAGCCAUCUAGUCUUGGAGCUUCAUCCCUAAACAAAGCGACUUGAACUUUCUCCUCGAUGAAUGAAGUCCCAAGCUUAUACAGGAGAUUUUGAACGGCUCUUGCCCCCCUACCUUCUUUUUUGUCAAACUCAUCGAAAAGCAAAACUUAAUUUAUUCUAACUUCCACCAUUUGAGAAUUAAUUUGUUAGACCCUUGUAGCUUGCAAACACACAAGAUUAACUCAUUGAGAUCUAAUCAGAGCCUUGAUAGUUUUUCGUUUUUCCUUGUCAUUAACCCCAACAUUUCAAGAUAAAAUCCUUAAUUGCAUGGAUAGUUAGAAACAAGUUCCCUACCACUUUUCUAACAUCUUGUCGCUUUUCCAUGCGCCUGGCUAUAGUUAAUUGAGUACUCUACCUUUCGGAGUUCCCCAACAAAAGGAGAAGUUGGAAUAUCUCCUCUCUCUACCUAUCACCACCACUUUACUCCUUUUUCUAGCCUUUGAUUUCCACAACAUAGAAAAAAUUCCCUACUCACAACCUCAGACAAUUCCACAAAAUUGUUGAAAGAGGCCAACUUGCAUAAAGACGAAUCUUGAACUUAACUCCUCCCCCUUUAGGUCCUAGCAAAGGCAGUCCUUACACAAGCCCACCACCUCACUACUCAACAAUUUCCACUCUCUUUAACCCGUUCCUUAAGUUUCCUUGGUACCCCCACCAUCAUGCCUUCACAAAAAAGCAUUUGUAGUGCCCUUCACCAUCACUGCAAGCCCAUAAGAAAUCACCCCCCUUCAACUCCCUCCAAAGAACUAAGCCUUUAGUGAGAUCCGACAAAGGGCUCCCAUCCAUAGUGCGAAAAGAAGUAGAAGAAACCCUGCCCUUCAAUAGAGAAGAAAAAGUCAAAGCCAUAUCUGAAAGUCUGAUAGCUUCAUUAAGGAGAGUUUCAUCGACAAAGGAAACUCUCACUUCUAGCCAUCGAGAUUCCAUUAGAAGGCAAAGGUCUUCAAACAUAGAGCUUUGACGAUUCCUCUAGUUGAGAGUAAAAUGGGGUUGAUCACCCCUCUUUAAUUAGGAAGCCCACUAAUGGUGCAAGAGUGGGUUGAUUGCAAGAGGCCUUGCAAGCCCAUCCCGCCUCCACAAAAUCCUCCCUCCCCCCUUCCCCCUUUUCACAAGAAGCUCGAACCUAAGAAGACGAGCCCUCAACUUGAGCAAGCCCUUAUAACUAAAGGUUGCUAGUCCUCCACAAUCCAGCCCUUAAGAGGAUCAUAGGCACAAACACUUUGAACCAUCAGCCCACUAAAACAACCAUUGGGGCCACUAAAUGACUCCUUUGGCAAUGAGCCAACCUCCUCGCUUGACCCAACUUUUACCAACUACUUGCACUAGGUAGAAAAGGCUAACCCCGCCACUCCUUUAGCAAGCCACAAAUGCUCCUCUUGUGACACCCAUUUUCCCUUUAGAACACAUUUCACCUCGUUAGAUUCAUCCUUGACCUUUACUCUGCAACUUCCAUUAAGAGCCACCAUCAUCAAGCAUAGAGAUAUCUCCCACCAUAGUUGAGUAGCAAAGACAAUUGACCUAACUACAACAUGCAAGAUCCUAGGCACCUUCCUCCUGUAAGAUCUUACAAGAAUCUUAGCCCAUUGAAGAUGACAAUGAAUCGCAUUACCCUCAUCAACUACCAUAAUUCUCCACAAGCAUCACCCAACCUUUAAACAAUUUUUUCCCCCCAAAUGAAGAGGUAGCCCACCCACUCCCACCAAAGCUUCUUUAGCACGCAUCCCUUUCUUGAAACAUCCUACUUCAAAACCCCACUAGUCUAGCUACACCCCCUUCCGCUUUGAAAAAUAUGUUGCCCAAAUGCUAUAAUACUCUAUUGACUUCAAUGGCUCUCCUAAACUCAAACAGGAUGACAGAACCUCCCAACAUAGCCAAAUGGAGGUUUCCCUUUAGUCUCCAAUUGUAUGAAGCCUAAUUUUAAUUUUUCAGGUGAAACAAAUUUGACACCUGGUUUGAGAAGGCUCCUCAUCUACCCACCAGGCACUUUUUCAAGGGCUUGAAAUUUUCCUUAAGUUCCUUCAUUUCAAACUAAAUCCAAACUGCAUCGCCAACCUUACCUUGGCCUUUAUUCACCGUCCCCGCAAAAGAAAUUAUCUUUCAAAAAAGUCCCCUACCACUAUCUUCUAAUUGUUUGAUAGCCUCCCAAGGUGCCUCUACAAUCCUCAACGAAAGAGCAACACCAGCAAUUCUCAGCUUAUUAGCAAUAAUCUUCCAUCCCCCUAGGAAGCCCCUCCCUUCAGGGAAGACUAACAAGAACCUUUUUUCCUCUGCUGAUAAAACUGAACACAAUAGAAAUCUUCCUUCUUGGUUGCUGCAAAGCUCCAGUUUGUAGGCUCUUACCACCUUCUUUCUGAUCCAUCUUAAAGCACAUGUUAUUCUUUCCUUUAUAGCCAAUAAGAGAUCCCUCUCACCAAACCUAGUCCAAGAGGAAAGCCCUCAUCCUCUCUUCAAAUUUUUUCCAAUUCUCUAACCUUUAAUCACCUCUAUCAAAAUCUCGAAAGAUUUUGAUUCAACACAAAAUCAACUGCAUCCUCCAUCCAUCCCUUGAACUCCACUUCCCUCAGAUGUUUCUCCAAGCUUGCUUAAUCGAAGAAUAAAUCCUUUUGAUAAAACAUAUUACUGGUUGGGACUUGACCCUUGCAAAUCCUACUUCAUUAUUAAGGUUUCAAGUUCAACACUAAACAUUCAAACUUCCUUAAGGCUCUGCCAUUAGAUACAAAAAAACUCAAGUCGUGUAGAUUUCUAAGUCGUAAAACUAAGAAUACAAAAGGCUCUCUACAUCUAGAUUCUUCCUUUUUUUUCCUUUUUUUUUUUUAAGGAUCUUCAAUAAUGGCGGUGCCAUAUGACUGAAAGUGGAGUAUGCAACAAAGAUGGUAAUGGUGUCAUUGGUGAAGAGAUGGAGGUACUACAAUGAAGGUAGUCUUGAUGGAGGUAAUGAAAUUUUCUCCUGUUGGUGUUGGAGAUGAUAACAAGUUCAUUGUUAAACAAUAAGGGCAGUCAAUACAAUGAAGAUGGAAUUGAUUGGGCAGCAAUGGAAGAAGCAACAGCAGUGGCAUGGCGGACGAGAGGUGGUGUUAGUGGUGACAAGACAACAUAGAGGUAAAGCAAUGGCAUUGAUGGAUGUGAUGGAUCGGAGGCCAAGGUGGAGACAGCAUCACGGAGGUAUGGCAGUAACAAGGUGGCGAUGGUGGGGAUGAUGGCGGCACUGUCAAUGGCAGAGUGGUGAAGGAGGUAGUAGUGACAGCAUCGAUAAAGGUGGCAGUCACAUGGCAGAUGUGUCAGUGGCGGUAAUUCAGAUCAAUCUUUUAUACAUAAUAUUAAAUAUUAAACAAGGUAGUGGAAUUGACAUCUGCUCUACAAACUUACUCU